CGUAGGGUGCAAGCGUUAAUCGGAAUUACUGGGCGUAAAGCGUGCGCAGGCGGUUUUGUAAGUCUGUCGUGAAAUCCCGGGCUCAACCUGGGAAUUGCGAUGGAGACUGCAAGGCUAGAAUCUGGCAGAGGGGGGUAGAAUUCCACGUGUAGCAGUGAAAUGCGUAGAGAUGUGGAGGAACACCGAUGGCGAAGGCAGCCCCCUGGGUCAAGAUUGACGCUCAUGCACGAAAGCGUGGGGAGCAAACAGGAUUAGAUACCCUGGUAGUCCACGCCCUAAACGAUGUCUACUAGUUGUCGGGUUUUAAUUAACUUGGUAACGCAGCUAACGCGUGAAGUAGACCGCCUGGGGAGUACGGUCGCAAGAUUA
This 369-nucleotide ribosomal RNA is filed under the name uncultured organism. RNAcentral's name for it is "bacterial SSU rRNA". It matches the Rfam family "Bacterial small subunit ribosomal RNA", at positions 526 to 896 of the family's 1533-position model. The record is from RNAcentral.